Molecule: ribosomal RNA, 304 nt
Filed under: uncultured fungus
Lineage: Eukaryota; Fungi
Description: bacterial SSU rRNA
Rfam family: Eukaryotic small subunit ribosomal RNA
Source: RNAcentral
AAAGANUUUAUAUCUUGCUGCGAACGGCUCAUUAAAUCAGUUAUAAUCUACUUGAUUGUAAAAUCUACAUGGAUAACUGUAGUAAUUCUAGAGCUAAUACAUGCAAAAAAUCCUGACUGUUAUAGAAAGGAUGUAUUUAUUAGGUACAAAAUCAAUGCUGGCACUUGUGUCAGGUUUAUUGAUGAUUCAUAAUAACUAAACGAAGCGCACGACCUUGAGUUGGCGCUGAUACAAACGAGUUUCUGCCCUAUCAACUUUCGAUGGUAGUAUAGAGGACUACCAUGGUUUCAACGGGUAGGGGNAU